AACGAACGCUGGCGGCAUGCCUAACACAUGCAAGUCGAACGAGACCUUCGGGUCUAGUGGCGCACGGGUGCGUAACGCGUGGGAACCUGCCCUUAGGUUCGGAAUAACUCCCCGAAAGGGGUGCUAAUACCGGAUAAUGUCUUCGGACCAAAGAUUUAUCGCCUUUGGAUGGGCCCGCGUUGGAUUAGCUAGUUGGUAGGGUAAAAGCCUACCAAGGCGCCGAUCCAUAGCUGGUCUGAGAGGAUGAUCAGCCACACUGGGACUGAGACACGGCCCAGACUCCUACGGGAGGCAGCAGUGGGGAAUAGUGGACAAUGGGCGAAAGCCUGAUCCAGCAAUGCCGCGUGAGUGAUGAAGGCCUUAGGGUUGUAAAGCUCUUUUACCCGGGAUGAUAAUGACAGUACCGGGAGAAUAAGCUCCGGCUAACUCCGUG
This 433-nucleotide ribosomal RNA is filed under the name uncultured bacterium. RNAcentral's name for it is "partial 16S ribosomal RNA". It matches the Rfam family "Bacterial small subunit ribosomal RNA", at positions 29 to 507 of the family's 1533-position model. The record is from RNAcentral.